This 74-nucleotide transfer RNA is filed under the name Phycisphaerae bacterium. Its description in RNAcentral is "tRNA-Leu". It matches the Rfam family "tRNA". Rfam says of the family: Transfer RNA (tRNA) molecules are approximately 80 nucleotides in length. Their secondary structure includes four short double-helical elements and three loops (D, anti-codon, and T loops). Lineage: Bacteria; Pseudomonadati; Planctomycetota; Phycisphaerae. The record is from RNAcentral.
GGGUCAGUAGCCCAAUUGGCAGAGGCAAGGGACUUAAAAUCCCUACAGUACGGGUUCGAGUCCCGUCUGACCCA